This 253-nucleotide ribosomal RNA is filed under the name uncultured bacterium. Its description in RNAcentral is "partial 16S ribosomal RNA". It matches the Rfam family "Bacterial small subunit ribosomal RNA", at positions 524 to 776 of the family's 1533-position model. The record is from RNAcentral.
GACGAACCGAGCGAACGUUGUUUGGAAUCACUGGGCUUAAAGGGCGCGUAGGCGGGCUGUCAAGUCUGGGGUGAAAUCCCGCGGCUCAACCGCGGAACGGCCUCGGAUACUGUCGGCCUCGAGGGGGGUAGGGGCAUCUGGAACUGUCGGUGGAGCGGUGAAAUGCGUUGAUAUCGACAGGAACUCCGGUGGCGAAGGCGAGGUGCUGGACCCCUUCUGACGCUGAGGCGCGAAAGCCAGGGGAGCGAACGGG